This 255-nucleotide ribosomal RNA is filed under the name uncultured prokaryote. RNAcentral's name for it is "partial 16S ribosomal RNA". It matches the Rfam family "Bacterial small subunit ribosomal RNA", at positions 521 to 775 of the family's 1533-position model. The record is from RNAcentral.
UAAUACGUAGGGGGCAAGCGUUGUUCGGAAUUACUGGGCGUAAAGGGCGCGUAGGCGGCACGGCAAGUCAGGAGUGAAAGCCCGGGGCUCAACCCCGGAACGUCUUUUGAAACUGCCGAGCUAGAGUGCGGAAGAGGCAACUGGAAUUCCCAGUGUAGCGGUGAAAUGCGUAGAUAUUGGGAAGAACACCUGAGGCGAAGGCGGGUUGCUGGGCCGACACUGACGCUGAGGCGCGAAAGCCAGGGGAGCGAACGG